This 85-nucleotide transfer RNA is filed under the name Felis catus (domestic cat). It matches the Rfam family "tRNA". Rfam says of the family: Transfer RNA (tRNA) molecules are approximately 80 nucleotides in length. Their secondary structure includes four short double-helical elements and three loops (D, anti-codon, and T loops). The record is from Rfam by way of RNAcentral. Lineage: Eukaryota; Metazoa; Chordata; Mammalia; Carnivora; Felidae.
GCCUGGGGGGCUCAGUCGGUUGAGCAUCCGACUUCAGCUCAGGUCCUGAUCUCAUGGCGUGUGGGUUCAAGCCCCACGUCGGGCU